Molecule: ribosomal RNA, 253 nt
Filed under: uncultured bacterium
Lineage: Bacteria
Description: partial 16S ribosomal RNA
Rfam family: Bacterial small subunit ribosomal RNA
Source: RNAcentral
AACGUAGGAGGCAAGCGUUAUCCGGAUUUACUGGGCGUAAAGGGCGUGCAGGUGGUGGUCUAAGUGGUGCGUGAAAGCGCUCGGCUCAACCGGGCGAGGGCGUGCCAAACUGGGUCACUAGAAACAGGCAGAGGAAAGUGGAAUUCGGGGUGUAGUGGUGAAAUGCGUAGAGAUCCCGAGGAACUCCUGUGGCGAAGGCGGGUUGCUGGGCUGACACUGACGCUGAGGCGCGAAAGCUAGGGGAGCGAACGGG